GGGUGUUCAAUCCGGAUAUCGGUUCGGUUUUUUUCGGUUUUUGGUAUUUCGGUUAGUAAAAUAUAACUACCAUUCUAAAUCCAUAUUUACUUCGGUUCGCUUCGGUUUAUAUACCGUCGGUUUUCGGUUUAUUCGGUUUUAUACCAACAAACAUAAUUAUUUUGUUUGAGAUCAUAUUAUAUGAAUUUUAGAGUCAUAUUGUCAACACAGUCAUUUGUUAAAAAUAUAUUACAUGUUCAAAUAGAUGAACAAAAAAAAAGUAAAAUGCUUCUACCAUCGUUUAUAUGGUAUAUACCAAAACCAAACCAUAUUGUCUAUUUCGGUUCGGUUCGGUACGGUUCGUUUUUACCAUAUUGAACAGCUCUAGAUAAUAGUAAUAAUAAUAUAAAUAUUAGUUUCUAUAAUUUAUUUAUUUGUAUUAUUUUAUUAUUAAAUUUUUAUAAUUUUCAUUUCAUAUAAUAAAAGGUUUUUUCCCAAAAAAUAUUUGUUGUGAGAUAUCUAUAAUUCUUAUUUAACAACAUGCUCUAAGAUAUACUCAAUAUGCAUCUGAAAUUUUAGACCGUUUGACCCGUAUUCACUUCACCUCGGAUCAAAUGGGACAAAGCCCACUAACAUUGAUUAGUUUUUCUAGCUCUACUAUUUAAUAGCUUAAUAUUUGCUCCAAAAUUGCUAGUUCCCGAACUUUUGUUGAAUAAAUUUGAACAACGUUAAAAAAAUUGAGCAAAAACUCAGAUUUGAAAAAAUAUAUAUAUUUUAAAAUUGAACAACAUAAAUGCAUCUUCCAGCUCAAAAAAAAAAUCAGAUUAAAAAACAAUAUAUUUAUAUACUAAUUCAAUCGAAACAGGCCCAAUAAUCUAUUAUUCGACCCACAUAAAUAUUUUGGUAGCCCGUUAAAAAGCAAAACCCUAAUUAGGGGGAUAGAGAAAACAUCUCCUCCGCUGGUCCUGACAAAACCUUCAACAACAAGUCGGUCUACCUCCACCACCGCACGCUUGUCUUCCGGUAUCUCUUGAUCUUUGUCUCAUUUUGUGUAUUUAACUAUCUAUUGAUUCUAUUUUUUUAUUUUGCCAAUCUGUUUGGUGGCUUUUUUGUAUUUCAGUUGGAAUUUAAAAAAAAAUGGAUUUCUCAUCUCCGUCGCCGCCGAUGGGUAGUGGUCAAUCUCCGGAAGCAUUGAUGGAACAGGUGCAGGCGCAGCUACAACAAGCUUACGCGGAGGAGUUGAUAGAGACACUGAGAGGAAAAUGCUUUGAUAAAUGUGUAACAAAGCCAGGAUCAAGCCUUAGCAGUGGCGAGAGUAGCUGCGUCUCUAGAUGCGUUGAUCGUUACAUUGAAGCCAUGGGUAUCGUUAGCCGUUCUCUCUUCUCCCAACAACGUUGAUCAACACUCUCUUCUAAGCUACUACUGUUGUUUUACUUUUGUUUUGAGUCUGAGUCUUUGUCAUUAAGACAAUCACCAGCUUUGGUUUCUUUAUAUGGUGAUAUAACUUUAUUACAAUGUUGACGACAAUAAUCUCUGUUUGACAUUCAUGAAAAGUUCUUUGGAAAUCAAAUAUGUUUCUUGAUGAUAUUUUGAUUUUGAAAUUUGUUUCGUUUUCUGUGAGCUUUUAGUCGAUCGAUAAAUGAAUAUGAGAUGUUUAGCAAUGAUUGAUGUUGUGUAGAUUUGUGUCUGUGAUUUGUUACGGUAGUAUUCACCUACUGUGUUAUGCGAAUUAUAAUUGGUUGUGUUUGUGAUGAAGUUUUCAUAUUGAAAUGUGAGUGUUUAGCUUUCUAUCCAUAUAUAUAACAGUGUGUUUCCUGGUUUUUGAGAAUGUGAAUAUAUUGAAGUCAUCAUACACUUUCAAGUGGUCAGGAUUUGCGAACCAGUGUGUGCCUAUUCUGAACACUGAGCUUUGCCUUUUACAUUCGUCUUAAUGGUAGUGGAUGAGUUUUAUGUGGCUGUUUUAAGUAGUUGGCUUGGUCAUUAGUAAUGAGCCUAAUUUACAGUUAAAAAUUAACUCAAUUGUGAAUAAUUGCCCUGGUUUGCCUCCCAAAGACUCAUGGUUGUCCUACUUCAAGACCCAAAAUAAAUGUGUAUUUCUUAGGGUGUUAUUUAUGGACCUGAUGUAAUCCCCUUCAACAAUAAAUGUAAUGAGAAAACUCUUCACACUAAUGCAUGAAUGAUACUUUACCUAACAAAAUAAUAAAUCCUAUGAUAUAGAUGUUUAUGAUUUUUAAUAUAGACUAGUAUACUUUUUUAUAAAAUUGGUUAACGUUUCAACGACGGUAGCUAAAUCUUUAAAGAGGUUUGGUCAUCUCCAACUAUAAUUUCUUUGGCCUGCGUAGUUGACACGGUGGGUAAUGUGUGAAGCUUCUGCCAAUACUUUUUAUAGGGUUUGAAUGGAACCCCAUCCGAUCCAAAAAAAUAGUAUCGAAUCUGAACCAAUUUUAUUAAACUUUAGAAACAGAACUGAAUCCGAACCAAAAUAAUUUAGAUAUUUAAAUGUAUUCGAAAUAGAUUUAUAUAUCUAAUAUACUAACUAAUGUUAAGAUUUAACUUAUAAAAAUAUCUAAAAUAUAUAAGAUAUUUUUAAAUCAUCCAAAACUUAAGGAAUAUAAUAUAAACUAAUCAAAGUAAAUGUUUAAAAUAACUAAAAAAUACUUAAAACAUCAAAAAUAAUUAAAAUAUUUAUUGAUUAUUUGUCUAAAUAUUCAAGUCAAAUUAAUUUAUAUGUUAAAUUUAGGUAUUUUCACAUAUUUUAUUCAAAUUUAUGUAUAAUAUCUUAUUUUGUUUUUAGAUUUUGAAAAAUUUAAAAUAUAUAAUGAAUUCAAUUUUCAAAAAAAAAAUUAAACGUAUUAUCCAAAUCAGAACCAAACCUUCAAAAAUUCAAACCUGAAUCCAAACCGAUAUUUAUAAAUAUUCGAAUGAAGCUGAAAUUUUUCUAAUCCUGAAAAUUCAAAAUCCGAAUAGAUCCAAACCGAACCGGAUAGGUAUAUUCCCCCACACCUACUCCUUUUUUUUUCUUUCUUACAAGACAUAAACGUGAGUCGCACGUGCCGUAGAUAUUUUAGACAUACUUUUUGUUUCUGUCCAAUUGUGAUUUGUCCUAAAGCCGCUUUUGAAGAAGAAGACUACUAACUACGUUUACUUUUCUCAAUUUUAAUCAGAGCUUCAUAUUCAGCUCCGACUCACGAGGACCUCUCACUCUCACUCUCGAUCUCUCUCGCUAUUCCUUCGAUCGUCUCGACUACUGGGUACGCUCUUUUCUUUUCCUUUUUGUCUCUUGAAGUUUAGAUCUUUGGUGUUGUGUUUGUGAAAUUUUCAUUCUACUGUGGUUCAAAAUUCCCGAAAAUUUGAUGGAUCUUCUUGAUGGAGAUUGAACAACAACUUUACUCAAAACUUUCACUUGAUUCUUAGUUUUUUUUUUUUUUGCGUAGUGUUAGUUAGCCAACUAGUUAGUUAGCUGAGUCAUGCUUUGUCUGUGUGAUUCAAGUCACAUGAACCAAGUGAACAUUUCUUGUCUAGUGUCCAUUUGCAUGUCUGUGACUUCUCUGCUGUGCUGUUCUUCCCUCAUGAAUAAUAGAUUUUGAUACUGCACACUAGUGUGUUAUUCAAAAUGUUUCGCCGCAAGACUACUUCGCAAGCUGAACAAGAGAAUAAUGAAGCAGCUCUCAGAGAGGCAAAGGUACAAACUUUCCAUGACUCUCACUUAUAAACUGAAUAACUGAUUCUUGAAAGAUCAUUUCUUUACUGAUCUUAAUGAUCCACAGAUCAAAGAGGUCAAGACUCUCAUAGGUGAGCUCUCUGGAAGGAGUUCACUCUACUGUUCAGAUCCCUGUCUCAAGAGAUAUCUUGAAGCUAGGAACUGGAACGUUGGCAAAGCCAAGAAGAUGCUUGAAGAGACGCUGAAAUGGAGAUCAACCUUCAAACCUGAAGAGAUCCGUUGGGUAAGUCAUCAACCACAUUCCUUAAGAGUAGGCUUCCUCUGAAACCUUAUCAACUUAAAGGCUUGCUUUGUUUUUUUUUUUACUAGGAUGAAGUUUCAGGUGAAGGUGAGACUGGGAAAGUCUACAAAGCUGGAUUCCAUGACAGAAGUGGAAGAACGGUUCUUAUACUCAGACCUGGAUUGCAGAACACCAAGUCUUUGGAGAACCAGAUGAAACAUUUAGUGUAUCUCAUUGAGAAUGCUAUUAUGAAUCUCCCGGAGGAUCAAGAGCAGAUGUCUUGGCUCAUUGAUUUUACAGACUGGUCGCUGAGCACCAGUGUGCCUAUCAAAUCCGCCAGGGAAACUAUCAACAUACUGCAGAAUCACUACCCUGAGAGACUAGCUGUCGCUUUCCUCUAUAACCCUCCAAGGCUCUUUGAGGCAUUCUGGAAGGUUAGAAGGCAAAUCACUGAUUCUGACUCAUAGAGUUAUACAAAACAUUAGUUAAUGAUGAGUGUUUGUUGUGUGUGUGUUGUUCUGCAGAUAGUGAAGUACUUCAUUGAUGCAAAGACAUUCAUCAAGGUGAAGUUUGUUUACCCGAAGAACCCUGAAAGCGUGGAGCUUAUGAGCUCAUUUUUCGACGAGGAGAACCUCCCAACGGAGUUUGGAGGGAAGGCUUUGUUGCAGUAUAACCAUGAAGAGUUCUCUAAGCAAAUGAACCAAGACGAUGUUAAAACUGCAGACUUUUGGGGAUUGGUUCAUAGUAACAACAAUCACCAGCAGCAGUCCAGCAGUGGAUUUUCUGGAGCUGAGAUUGCUCCUGAGCCAAUACAAACCAACACUUAAAACUAGCUUUGAAAGGCUAUGUAUUGUUGUAACCAACCCUUUUUCAAAUGGGGACAAAGAUAAAGAUAGCUCUUGAUGCUUAGAGGAGAGGACACAGAGAUGUAAGAUUUAGACUCGGUAUUUGAUUAAAUAAAAGGAUUUGUGUGUUAUAAGCAGCUCUUGCAGGUGUUAUAAGUGAUUCCAAUAAUACUUUACACUCAAAAGCAUUUAUUUACAGGAAGAAGACAAGCUUUGUUUCUUUCAGUAUCAUCAAUCUCAACAAACCCAAGAAGAAGAAGAGAAUGGUUUCUUUCAAAAUUUGAAGGCACACAGAAGAAAAAAAAAAACAGAUGAAGAAAGAUUAUCAUACUACACAAAUGUAUUAGCUAUUAAACUCUAUUAAGUUUAGAGAUUUGCGUUGGAGUGGAGUUAGAGAGAGAGACAGAGAAGGCCAAGAAGCUUGAGGCAAGUUUAAGUGAGACUACUAGAUGAGUCUUCUUCUGAAGUUUCUGGUGGUUGAUUGAUAGGUUCGCACCAGAAGGCCAACACCAAUGCCGAGACCUACACAGACGCCAAGACCAAUUCCAACGCCAACCCUCACACCAGCAUUGAACCACGACAUUUCGCCAUCUUCAACAUCUGCGUACUCUCUUCCCAUAUACAUGUCUCCGUAUUCUCCUUCAUAGUCUUGUUUAUAGUUUCCGUAUUCUGUUGCCUACACAAUUUUAAAAAACUCCCAUACUUAGGACAAAACAUUGCAAAGAAUAUGUUUUGGUACAUGGCUCUCUGAAACGAAAAUAAGAAAGAUACAUUCAUAGAGAUAGUCAAGUAAAGAACACAAUGGCCAUUCAACCAGUACUUGUAGAAUAGAGGCUAAUAGUACUUUUAUUCUCAUACUGGUGUUUAGACCUCCAUGAUAUUUAGGUGGAAGUUAUAGACACUAAUAUAGUUUAAGGGAAGCUAAUAACCUAUAGUGAGUUCUAAGAACCAUUCCAAAUAGGUCAACUGCAAUAAAACCUUCAAGCAUAAGUUAAUCUUAACAUUUGAUUCUUCAAUAGGUUAACAUCUUCCCUGGUAAGUAGUCUAUGCAUAAACUAAAGUUGAUAUAUUGUGGCACUAAUGUGAUAACCACAAUGAAUCACAUAAGAACUGAAUGUAGCAGACAGGAGGAUAAGAAUUCAAACAUUAAGAUCACAUGACAAGAGAGAGAGAGAGAGAGAGAGAGAGAGCUUUCUAUUAAUAUGUCAGGCCCCAUACAUCACAUGAUCAUUUAUCAAGAGCUGGUACCAAGAAACAAGCAGACUCAUAUCCUAGGUAACGCAUUCAAAAAACCAUUAUAAUACUAUUUAAAAAGCAUUGAUACAAUGAAACAGCAAAAUGAAAAAUUACCUGAAAAUCAAGCUCAGACGAGUUGCCUUUAUGAGUCUCGCCGGUUUCAUACUCAGGAAUCGAAUCUAACGCAGCCACUCUAUUAUGCAUCUUCUUCCUAAAACCAAGCUGAAGCGUCUUGGUCAAGAUGAUAGGUGUUCCCGAGAAGCAACCAGUGACAUACACUUCAACAGUCGGCAACAACGGAGAUGAUGACAUCUCAGAACAACCAAUGUGUUUCUUCUUCUCCUUCAAGAAACCACACCCUGCAGUGAUCUCAGCUUCACAGUUCAUCCCCCACCGCUUCACGCCAUGCUUAACAGACUCCCCUGUGAAACCAUUACUACCAGACAACUCUAAAGUCCCAGACAAAACAAGCUCAUCUCUGUCAUACACCUCAAACCUCACGCUACCAGAUAGCCUGAUAUUGUCUGUGCUGAUGAAAGUAACCGCUUCUGAUCUCUUAUCAACACGGUCUCUCCUCAGCUGAGAGGAAACUCCUUGAGAGUACCGAACACCGUUGAUCUCGAGGAGCGAGUCAGGAUCCAGAGGGAUGUGGGUGAGGGUGAGGACCUCAGGUGUGGAAUCAUCCGCCUUGAAGUUGCUGAUUCUGACAUAGAACACUCUCAAAUCCAACAAUGGUGAUGAUGAUGUUCUGUUGUAGCCCUGAUGAUAUCUAACCAUCUGAUAUGCUUCACCGUUGUUGUUGCGUGUCUCGUAAGGCUCCUCCAUAAUUAAGAAGUACUAGAAUCAAUCCCUAAUGUGAUGUGAAAUAGAAAUCAUUCAUUAACCAAAUCGUAACGAAAGAAAUGUAAAGAUUCAAACUUUAAUCACUUUGCCAAAAACAGAGAGAUGGGUCAAAAAUUUACAGAUGUGGAAAUCACAUCUUAAGUUGAAAAAAAAAAACAAAUUAACAAACUUUAAAGCUUUAAAACUACGUUUCUAUCAGAAAGGAACUAUCUUUUCUUUUCAAAACAAAAAUAGAAUUUUCUAAAAAAAAAACUCAGAAAAAUCCGCAGAAAGGAGAGAGGAAGCUCACCGAGGAGAUGGUUCCAUCCACGAGCCCAGAGAAUUACAAUCUGAUGAUUUUUUACAAACUAGUGAUUAGCAUUGAUCUUCCUCCUCCUCCUGCCUGCGUCUCCAAAAUUAAGGAAAGCAAAAAAUAGAAACUUUAUGUGUGGCCAAGUAGGAUUCUGAUUAGAUCUCUCGUAGAUCAUAGAUUUCCAUUAUAUUGCGAGCUCGGCGCGUGGCAGAGGAUUAACGACGAAAGGUUUUGUCUUUAUGGAGGAUAAUUUUGUAUUUUAAUUAGGAGGAAAAGAUUAUUAUAUAUAAUGAGAAAAAGAAAAAAGGAAGAGUGAUGGGAAGAGGUUUGAGAUGUCUCGUUGUUAUGAUCCAACAGGGAGAAGAGGAGAUGGGCUCUUCUGAACGACUUUCCAUCACGUGAUCAUCCUUAUCCUCUUCUUUGGACCAACAAAAAGUCACUGUUUACGAGACACACCGCGUCGGGUCGCUUUUACUAAAACGACGCGAAAUGUCCUGACGUUCGUUGAAAACUGCACGUUGUUGGGCUUUUUUAGUCAAGUGUUGAGCUUUUAAAUUUACAUAUUUCUUGAUAAAAAGGUGGACAUCGUGCCGUUUUGCUUAGGAGUUAAUAAAUUUUGUUGCAAAAACGUUUCAUUUUCUUUAAAACAAAAUUUUAAGUUGAAUAAUCGUUUCUUGAACUACAUACGUAUACGUUGACUGUACCAUCAAUCGUGUUCAAUGAAAUGAAUCUCACAUGAUAAACAUACGUUUUCAGUUAAUAUUGAAUUAAAAUAAGAUCUAAGAAAGUGAAACAAGUUUAACAAAAAAAAAAACAAAAAAAAAAGUGAAACAAAACCAAAAGGACUUUCAUUAGAAGUCAAACCUAACACACAAAUUGCAGCUAGCAACCAGUAGUGAUAAGGUUGCAAAUAUUCUUCACUAGAUUUAUAACUUCAGUCGAUGGAGAUUGAACAACAACUUUACUCAAAACUUUCACUUGAUUCUUAGUUUUUUUUUUUUUUGCGUAGUGUUAGUUAGCCAACUAGUUAGUUAGCUGAGUCAUGCUUUGUCUGUGUGAUUCAAGUCACAUGAACCAAGUGAACAUUUCUUGUCUAGUGUCCAUUUGCAUGUCUGUGACUUCUCUGCUGUGCUGUUCUUCCCUCAUGAAUAAUAGAUUUUGAUACUGCACACUAGUGUGUUAUUCAAAAUGUUUCGCCGCAAGACUACUUCGCAAGCUGAACAAGAGAAUAAUGAAGCAGCUCUCAGAGAGGCAAAGGUACAAACUUUCCAUGACUCUCACUUAUAAACUGAAUAACUGAUUCUUGAAAGAUCAUUUCUUUACUGAUCUUAAUGAUCCACAGAUCAAAGAGGUCAAGACUCUCAUAGGUGAGCUCUCUGGAAGGAGUUCACUCUACUGUUCAGAUCCCUGUCUCAAGAGAUAUCUUGAAGCUAGGAACUGGAACGUUGGCAAAGCCAAGAAGAUGCUUGAAGAGACGCUGAAAUGGAGAUCAACCUUCAAACCUGAAGAGAUCCGUUGGGUAAGUCAUCAACCACAUUCCUUAAGAGUAGGCUUCCUCUGAAACCUUAUCAACUUAAAGGCUUGCUUUGUUUUUUUUUUUACUAGGAUGAAGUUUCAGGUGAAGGUGAGACUGGGAAAGUCUACAAAGCUGGAUUCCAUGACAGAAGUGGAAGAACGGUUCUUAUACUCAGACCUGGAUUGCAGAACACCAAGUCUUUGGAGAACCAGAUGAAACAUUUAGUGUAUCUCAUUGAGAAUGCUAUUAUGAAUCUCCCGGAGGAUCAAGAGCAGAUGUCUUGGCUCAUUGAUUUUACAGACUGGUCGCUGAGCACCAGUGUGCCUAUCAAAUCCGCCAGGGAAACUAUCAACAUACUGCAGAAUCACUACCCUGAGAGACUAGCUGUCGCUUUCCUCUAUAACCCUCCAAGGCUCUUUGAGGCAUUCUGGAAGGUUAGAAGGCAAAUCACUGAUUCUGACUCAUAGAGUUAUACAAAACAUUAGUUAAUGAUGAGUGUUUGUUGUGUGUGUGUUGUUCUGCAGAUAGUGAAGUACUUCAUUGAUGCAAAGACAUUCAUCAAGGUGAAGUUUGUUUACCCGAAGAACCCUGAAAGCGUGGAGCUUAUGAGCUCAUUUUUCGACGAGGAGAACCUCCCAACGGAGUUUGGAGGGAAGGCUUUGUUGCAGUAUAACCAUGAAGAGUUCUCUAAGCAAAUGAACCAAGACGAUGUUAAAACUGCAGACUUUUGGGGAUUGGUUCAUAGUAACAACAAUCACCAGCAGCAGUCCAGCAGUGGAUUUUCUGGAGCUGAGAUUGCUCCUGAGCCAAUACAAACCAACACUUAAAACUAGCUUUGAAAGGCUAUGUAUUGUUGUAACCAACCCUUUUUCAAAUGGGGACAAAGAUAAAGAUAGCUCUUGAUGCUUAGAGGAGAGGACACAGAGAUGUAAGAUUUAGACUCGGUAUUUGAUUAAAUAAAAGGAUUUGUGUGUUAUAAGCAGCUCUUGCAGGUGUUAUAAGUGAUUCCAAUAAUACUUUACACUCAAAAGCAUUUAUUUACAGGAAGAAGACAAGCUUUGUUUCUUUCAGUAUCAUCAAUCUCAACAAACCCAAGAAGAAGAAGAGAAUGGUUUCUUUCAAAAUUUGAAGGCACACAGAAGAAAAAAAAAAACAGAUGAAGAAAGAUUAUCAUACUACACAAAUGUAUUAGCUAUUAAACUCUAUUAAGUUUAGAGAUUUGCGUUGGAGUGGAGUUAGAGAGAGAGACAGAGAAGGCCAAGAAGCUUGAGGCAAGUUUAAGUGAGACUACUAGAUGAGUCUUCUUCUGAAGUUUCUGGUGGUUGAUUGAUAGGUUCGCACCAGAAGGCCAACACCAAUGCCGAGACCUACACAGACGCCAAGACCAAUUCCAACGCCAACCCUCACACCAGCAUUGAACCACGACAUUUCGCCAUCUUCAACAUCUGCGUACUCUCUUCCCAUAUACAUGUCUCCGUAUUCUCCUUCAUAGUCUUGUUUAUAGUUUCCGUAUUCUGUUGCCUACACAAUUUUAAAAAACUCCCAUACUUAGGACAAAACAUUGCAAAGAAUAUGUUUUGGUACAUGGCUCUCUGAAACGAAAAUAAGAAAGAUACAUUCAUAGAGAUAGUCAAGUAAAGAACACAAUGGCCAUUCAACCAGUACUUGUAGAAUAGAGGCUAAUAGUACUUUUAUUCUCAUACUGGUGUUUAGACCUCCAUGAUAUUUAGGUGGAAGUUAUAGACACUAAUAUAGUUUAAGGGAAGCUAAUAACCUAUAGUGAGUUCUAAGAACCAUUCCAAAUAGGUCAACUGCAAUAAAACCUUCAAGCAUAAGUUAAUCUUAACAUUUGAUUCUUCAAUAGGUUAACAUCUUCCCUGGUAAGUAGUCUAUGCAUAAACUAAAGUUGAUAUAUUGUGGCACUAAUGUGAUAACCACAAUGAAUCACAUAAGAACUGAAUGUAGCAGACAGGAGGAUAAGAAUUCAAACAUUAAGAUCACAUGACAAGAGAGAGAGAGAGAGAGAGAGAGAGAGCUUUCUAUUAAUAUGUCAGGCCCCAUACAUCACAUGAUCAUUUAUCAAGAGCUGGUACCAAGAAACAAGCAGACUCAUAUCCUAGGUAACGCAUUCAAAAAACCAUUAUAAUACUAUUUAAAAAGCAUUGAUACAAUGAAACAGCAAAAUGAAAAAUUACCUGAAAAUCAAGCUCAGACGAGUUGCCUUUAUGAGUCUCGCCGGUUUCAUACUCAGGAAUCGAAUCUAACGCAGCCACUCUAUUAUGCAUCUUCUUCCUAAAACCAAGCUGAAGCGUCUUGGUCAAGAUGAUAGGUGUUCCCGAGAAGCAACCAGUGACAUACACUUCAACAGUCGGCAACAACGGAGAUGAUGACAUCUCAGAACAACCAAUGUGUUUCUUCUUCUCCUUCAAGAAACCACACCCUGCAGUGAUCUCAGCUUCACAGUUCAUCCCCCACCGCUUCACGCCAUGCUUAACAGACUCCCCUGUGAAACCAUUACUACCAGACAACUCUAAAGUCCCAGACAAAACAAGCUCAUCUCUGUCAUACACCUCAAACCUCACGCUACCAGAUAGCCUGAUAUUGUCUGUGCUGAUGAAAGUAACCGCUUCUGAUCUCUUAUCAACACGGUCUCUCCUCAGCUGAGAGGAAACUCCUUGAGAGUACCGAACACCGUUGAUCUCGAGGAGCGAGUCAGGAUCCAGAGGGAUGUGGGUGAGGGUGAGGACCUCAGGUGUGGAAUCAUCCGCCUUGAAGUUGCUGAUUCUGACAUAGAACACUCUCAAAUCCAACAAUGGUGAUGAUGAUGUUCUGUUGUAGCCCUGAUGAUAUCUAACCAUCUGAUAUGCUUCACCGUUGUUGUUGCGUGUCUCGUAAGGCUCCUCCAUAAUUAAGAAGUACUAGAAUCAAUCCCUAAUGUGAUGUGAAAUAGAAAUCAUUCAUUAACCAAAUCGUAACGAAAGAAAUGUAAAGAUUCAAACUUUAAUCACUUUGCCAAAAACAGAGAGAUGGGUCAAAAAUUUACAGAUGUGGAAAUCACAUCUUAAGUUGAAAAAAAAAAACAAAUUAACAAACUUUAAAGCUUUAAAACUACGUUUCUAUCAGAAAGGAACUAUCUUUUCUUUUCAAAACAAAAAUAGAAUUUUCUAAAAAAAAAACUCAGAAAAAUCCGCAGAAAGGAGAGAGGAAGCUCACCGAGGAGAUGGUUCCAUCCACGAGCCCAGAGAAUUACAAUCUGAUGAUUUUUUACAAACUAGUGAUUAGCAUUGAUCUUCCUCCUCCUCCUGCCUGCGUCUCCAAAAUUAAGGAAAGCAAAAAAUAGAAACUUUAUGUGUGGCCAAGUAGGAUUCUGAUUAGAUCUCUCGUAGAUCAUAGAUUUCCAUUAUAUUGCGAGCUCGGCGCGUGGCAGAGGAUUAACGACGAAAGGUUUUGUCUUUAUGGAGGAUAAUUUUGUAUUUUAAUUAGGAGGAAAAGAUUAUUAUAUAUAAUGAGAAAAAGAAAAAAGGAAGAGUGAUGGGAAGAGGUUUGAGAUGUCUCGUUGUUAUGAUCCAACAGGGAGAAGAGGAGAUGGGCUCUUCUGAACGACUUUCCAUCACGUGAUCAUCCUUAUCCUCUUCUUUGGACCAACAAAAAGUCACUGUUUACGAGACACACCGCGUCGGGUCGCUUUUACUAAAACGACGCGAAAUGUCCUGACGUUCGUUGAAAACUGCACGUUGUUGGGCUUUUUUAGUCAAGUGUUGAGCUUUUAAAUUUACAUAUUUCUUGAUAAAAAGGUGGACAUCGUGCCGUUUUGCUUAGGAGUUAAUAAAUUUUGUUGCAAAAACGUUUCAUUUUCUUUAAAACAAAAUUUUAAGUUGAAUAAUCGUUUCUUGAACUACAUACGUAUACGUUGACUGUACCAUCAAUCGUGUUCAAUGAAAUGAAUCUCACAUGAUAAACAUACGUUUUCAGUUAAUAUUGAAUUAAAAUAAGAUCUAAGAAAGUGAAACAAGUUUAACAAAAAAAAAAACAAAAAAAAAAGUGAAACAAAACCAAAAGGACUUUCAUUAGAAGUCAAACCUAACACACAAAUUGCAGCUAGCAACCAGUAGUGAUAAGGUUGCAAAUAUUCUUCACUAGAUUUAUAACUUCAGUCGAUGAAGCUAUACAAUUUGAUCUUUGAUACAUAUAAUAUAUGAAUAUAUAUAGAACUAGUUUUCCUUCAAAAAAUAUAUAGAAUUAGGUACUAUAGUACACAAUGCAUGAACCCUAACAUUAAAGGAUAAAAUAAUACAGUAUAUUAUAUUGGUUUUAUAUGUCGACAUACAUGGAUUAUAUUGAUGGAUAAUAUUAUAGAAGGAAAGAUAACCAAUGGACAAACAUAAAAUCUACUUUUUUUUUCUUCUGAAAGUUUUAUCCUAACACCAAAGAGUGGGUGACUUUUGAUAUUGAAGACUGUUGUCUUUUGUUUCUGUCUGUAUAACAUUAAAAAACAAAUAAAGCAUGAGAAAAUUUGAUUGCCCCGUGAAGAUAUUUUUUUUAUAUUUGGUCUUGAAGAUAUUAGAAACAAAUAAGCUAUUCAAGAAAAUUGUAUUCUACUGAAAAAUUAUAAGCUGAUGGGGAAGAAAAGGUUUCAGAGAGAGAAAGAAUCGUCAGUGACGGCGACGGUAGGAGAAGCUUCAUCUCUGUUGGGGUCUCAGACGGCAAGGAGACGAAGAGGAAGGCCGAGGAAGAAUCUUGAGGGUCCUGAAAAUUCCAAGAAGGAAGAAGACGAAGAUUACGAGGAGUACGAGUACGAAGAAGAAGAAGAUGACGAGCAAGUUGAGAUUGUUAACAGAGAGAAACUGAAGAAGAAGAAGGUUAGAAGUAGCCAUAGCGUGGAAGAAGGGCAAAAGUGGAAACGUGAAGAACUAGCUGAAGAGGAGGAGAAGCCGGAUAUGACGGUGAAGACGGUUGCACCGCUGUCAUAUAGACGGUCCAGGAGGAAGAACACACCGGUGAAAAGCUGGUAAACUUAAUAUUACCAAACCAUUGGAGUCUUUGAUAUUGUGUUGUGUGUUCAUGGAUUAACUAUCGUUGAGUUAUAAAUUAAUUAAGAACCCUCAUGGGAAGACGACCUUUUAAUUCUUUAGAUUAUUGAAUCGGUUAAUUCAAAACAAGAACACAAGUUUUGGAAAGUUUUAGUCUUUUAGAUAACCAAUAAUGGGGGAAACAAUACAAGUUAAUGGUGAAUUUUGAAAUUAAUUAAAAGUAAUUGUUUCAUAAUGAUGCUUUAUAGGGUUUUAGUUGUAGUAGGUUGCAUAUUUUUAUGUGUUGUGUAGUUGAUGGUUACGUCGCUUUCGGAUUUUUGUAUGAUAACAAAAGAUGCAAAUGCACAUGGUUAACAGAUAAGUUAAGAAACCAAUGGAUAUUGCUAGUGAAAACGACUUGUCUAUUACUCUAAACCCACAACAAAGCUAUAUAUACUUAAUAUGAUCGUUGCUGUAGUUAAGAGCAAAGAACCUAGAAAAUAAAAACUAACUAAUUGCACGCAAGACAUUAUGGGCCCUGCAAGUGUUCACGUGCAAAACCAUCUUUGUCACAAGAUUAACAUCGAAACUUAUCAAAAUUCAAAACCGGUAAAUUCAAAACCUUGAUUAUAAGUAUUCAGUUUGAUAUGGUUUCAAAACCUUAACGUCUUUCCAGGAGUAACUUGUAACACUGAAGUUGACCAAAAAAACAAAGGCAGACAUUAGCUUACUUCCUCUCUUAAGCUACAACAGCCUGUGGUUUAGGGUGAUGAUGCCUUUCCUUCUUGUAACGCAACUGCUCUGGAUCAAACCCACCUUCCUCUGCUCCAUAAACUGCCCAUGAUGGUGUUUCAGCCAUAUAGUCCCUACUCGUGAACGGUUCUCCAGAAGCCACCUAUACGGAUUCAUUAACGAGUGUCAGUAAAAGUUAGCAUGAAAUCUUGAGUUUGAUCUGGUUUAACUAACUAACCAGAUCGUGGAACUUUUCAUAGUCGAUCCAGGUGAACCACUUCCCAUCCACUUUGAACUUGUCGGUUCUCCCUAGAAGAACACAGCAAGAAUGGGCGUGCUCGCAAGCAACCUCGUACUCUCCAUUGCUCUUCAGAGACAGAGCUUCUGAGAAUGCUUUAACAUCCGCGUGCCAUGGUACGUUCUCCAUUGUCAACUUUGAUGUUGCAGAUCUGUUUAUGUUUCCAUACGAUUAACAUAUGUAAUGACUUGUUUAUAAAAAGAAUGGAGAACAAGUGAAACACACUCACGAUCCACAAUAUGUGACGCCUUUGAUCUCGAUGAAGUCAGGUUUCCCGAUGUUGAAGAGAUUGAAAUAAGCUUCUAGCUCUUCUGUGUUCCAUCCUUUGACGAGUGUUAAACGGUAGACUGUUCGUUGUUGUUUCUCCUGGAGAGCUUUCAAGGAGUCCUGAGAUACAAAUGGAGCAGAUAUUAUAUACAUUUACCGUAAUUCAAAUUUCAUUUCGUAGGUUAUUACAUAAGACGUUUAUUUUAAAAUACUCACAAUAAACCGCUCCCAGAAGUCUGCAAAGAGAGGCCUAUCAAUAGCCUUCAAGCUCUCUUUGGUGGCAGCAUCUACACUUACGUACAACUGUAGAUAUCAAAGAUUAACGAGUUAGGCAACUUCGUUCCUCUAAGUGCAUGAAGAGCCUUCAAAGCUGGAAAAAACAUGUACAAAAUAGACACCACGGACCUGGGUGAUAGGCUUCAUCAUCAAAAUCUUUUCAGGGAAUUGUGCAUUAGUAACCAAGAAUGUGGAAAUACGCUUUCCAUGAAGCUCAUCCACAAGUGCAUUGAUCUCUGGAUACAUAAUUGGCUCACCAACAAGUGAUAACGCACAAUGCCUUGGUGUUAGACCUUCUUGUAACUUCUCUGGAGUUACACCUGAAGAACAUAUCCCCCCCAGUAAAACAUCAGCAUCUGACAUCCACUUAAGUGGUGGAAUCAAAUCAACCAAAUAACCAAAACACGCACAUUAUUAUUGACUUCCAAGAUCUAAACGACUAUCAUGACAUGUAUAAACUAUGAGAUAUCUAAAUAGGAUUCAGACACUAACUUGACCCACGGAUUCUCAUAAACCAUCAGAGACAUGACAGAGAUUUUUUUCAGAAUGUAUUAUCUGCAAACCAAAAUAAGGAGGGAGAUAUAAGCAGACCUGGAACUCCUUUCAUCUGUUUAAUCAUCUUUGUAUGAAGAUCAAGAGCACCUUUCACAAUCUCUUUAGGAUCGUCCAUCUUCCACUGCCAGCUCUUCCCCACAGGAUUAGUGUGAUGCCUCCAACAGAAGACACAUUUGUUCGCACAAGCCAAACUAGGUGUUGUCUCCAUACACCUUGCACAUUCCAAAACCCCAAAAUACAUCUCAACAUAAGAAAUCACAACCCUACAACCAUAAGGCUAGAUGUAAACAAACUUUCAAAUCGAACCUGUGACUCUCAAUGCCAUAAAAGGAGUGCUUGUAACAACCUCCCCUCCCUCUAAGCUGUGACUUCGUCCAUCUACAAAUCUUAACCCCACUAUGCGAGCCAAUGAUCUUAUACCCCUGCAACAAGUUACACAUAACUUCAGAAAACUCUCUAGCAAUCAAUAUCAAUAUAACUACCCUGCUUCAAAUCUCAAAGCAAAAAAAAAAAAAAACUACCUGUUUCGUUAAGCUAGCUCUAAUCACAGGUGUCACCAUCUCCUUCUUCCCAUCACCACGUUUCGUAACCUUAACAACACCGUUCUUCCUAGAAGGAGCUUUUCCAGCAAUAUCUUCGAGAUCAACAAUAUCAUUGCUAUCUUCUUCUUCCUCUUCAUCUGUUGUAUCAAUAUAUUCCUCUUCACUCUCAACGACACCGUUUUGAGUAAUCUCAUUAGCUUCCCGAGCCUGAGCAGAGCCUCCCUUGAGAACUCUAAUCACUCCAUCACACCACUCGUUAAACGCUCUAUCUAACUCUCCAUCGUCCACGUCACCUUCUCCCACCGGCACCAUCUCCGCUCCACCCAACCCCACCAUCCUCCUCGACAUCUCCUUCGCCACCGCGUUAUACUCAUCACCAUAAGCACGGCUCCCGACGCCGAAGACUCCGAAUCUGCAACCGGAGAGAAGAAGCGAUCCGACUCUGAAAUCCUCCGCGCUCUCCGAUAGCCAGUCGACGAGAAACUCCCCGUCCUUGGGCGGCUUCCCGCCGUCCCACGUCGACGCGACGAAGAUGGCCAGCGUCUCCUUGGGGAGAUCCUCCGGCUCGUAGCUAGCUGGAUCCACGAGAUCGAACGCGAUGCCGUUCGAUUCCAGGAGCUUGUGGAGGCGCUGAGCUAGGGAUUUGGAUGUUCCCGUUUGGGAGAUGAAGAAGAUCUUCCCCCUUCUGGUGCUAGGGUUUAAUAAGGAGAGGGUUUUGAGACGUUUCAGGCGGCGGUAUUUGUGGAUGCAGUAGAAAGUAGUCGCUGAGAGUAGAGCUACGAGAGCUAGUCGAGCGUGAAUGGAGGACGACGAAGCCAUGGAUUAAAGGUUACCAAGACUACGCAGGCGGCGCGUGGUGUUCACGCGAAAGCUAUGAACCGAGGUUUACACUAACGGAGAAAUGGCGGAGACGGGGAAGAAGUAUAAGGUUUACAUAAUGGUUUUUUAAGGCCCGGUUUGUUUAGAAUUAAGGCCCGGUUUGUUUAGGUUAAAAGCCCAUUAACUCCGUCCGAGAUCAGAAAGCAACAACAACCACGACUUUUUUUUUCCUUUGAUCUCUAUGCCACGUGGCAAUCUCUUAUUCGGCAAUACCUCCGAAGCUAUGAACCGGGAUCGGUUGUUGAGCGAGGUUGACACGAACGGAGAAAUGGCGGAGACGGGGAGUAAGUGUAUAAGGUUUACGUAAUGGUCUUUAUUUUUAAGGCCCGGUUUAUUUAGAUUUAAGCCCCGGUUUAUCUAGGUUUAAAGCCCAUUAACUCUGCCCGAGAUCAGAAAGCCACAACCACGCUUUUUUCCCUCUGCUCUUUAUGCGCCACGUGGCAAUCUCUUCUUCGGCAAUACCUAGUUGAUAAAACAAAAAGCAAAAAACAAAUAAAUCAAACUGAGACGGAAUGAAUAUUGUUGGUGGAUUAUCGGUAAAUGUUGAGCGUUUAUAUUCAAAUCUACUUUUUCUUGUUUGACGCCGUAUUCUCUUUCUGGGGAAUAUUAGUCGUUUCCUUUUCCAUGCCUAUAUUAUUUAUACCCUAUCAUCCACCAUCACCAUGCUUCUCAACAAGCGUCAUUUCUCUCUCUGUGUCUCUCUGUUCUCUUCUUGUGCACAAAGACAGUUACUCAAUUCUUCUGCUGGUUAGUAUAUUUUUUUUUUGUGUUUAAUGGAAUUUUUGUUUCUGUAAACUUUGUGUUGUUAUUUUUUUUUUGUUUGAUUUAACCUAAAGUUCAUUGAUUUCACAAUGAUUGAUUUCUCAACAAUGUGUUUGGUUUCCAUAUUUUUGGUAGUAGUAUUUUUCUUACAUAUUGCUAUUAGUGUGUUUCUCGUGAAUUUUAGUGAAGUUGUGGUAAAUUUACGUCUUUAAUUAGUUAAAGUUGCAAAUAUUAAUUAGGUCUUAAUUUCCUGGAGCCCUUGGGAAGAAACAUAAAUCAGGAGUUUACGUGGUGCAAUUUUUGUUCUAUCUUAACGAGCAAAUAAGGAUUGUUUUUACAGGAGGUUUUGUUACAUUUUUUUUUUCCUUUUCGGUGCUAGUGGAUCAAAGUGGUGCAAUCUUAGUGUUGUAUGACCCGUGUUGACUAAUCCUAAACUUUUGUAUUCUCUCUAGAAAACGUGUCAUCUAAAUUUAGCCUUAGUGGGUUCUGAGUAACCAGUUGCUUCUUCCGUGAUUGAUUUUAUAUAUUAUUGCUAUCAUUUUUUUUGGAUAGAGCAUGUACAUUCUCUAUGUAAUUUAUACCUUGUUUGUGUGUUGCAUCUAUUUUUAUAUAUUAGACGAGUUCAUUUGAAGGACAACAAAAAUGACGCUUCUUUUACUUGAUCAACUCUCAGGGACAAGUCAUAUCUGUUUCAAAAGUUCAAUGGAAGAACAAAGAGCUAGUGGUCUUACGGACAGCGUGGUGCAGUUUCAAAAUGUGGGAUCAAGGGACGGAUGUGAAGCUCCCCAUAAGUGGUCAUCCAAUGGAGGAGGAAAGAAAAUCGACGUAAGAAACCAGAUCUUCUGCAAUAGAUCUUUGAACAUGAAGAAUAUCAUUGCCGUAGGCUUUGAUAUGGACUAUACUCUGGCCCAAUAUAAGUCCGAAACUUUUGAGUCCCUUGCAUAUGAAGGCACUGUCAGGAAGUUGGUAUACGAUUUGGGGUAUCCAAGAGAGGUUAGUAUACUUUAUUGCUGUUUUUAAAUUUGUUACCGGUAGAAAAAGUUUGAUUAAUUUUGUUUACUCGUUGUUGUUUACAAAAAACAGCUGUUGGAAUGGACAUUUGAUUGGAACUAUAUGGUUAGAGGGUUGGUUCUAGACAAAAAGAAAGGAAACAUCUUAAAGGUAUAUAUCGUGUAUUGGAUUGGACUCUUAUAAUAAUUAUUGCCUCGUUUCCUAAUUGACUGUUGUCUCAUGUUUCAGAUGGAUCGCCAUAAGUACGUGAAGGUGGCUUACCAUGGGUUUAAGGAGCUCUCUAAGCAGGAAAAAGUUGAUGUCUAUGGCACUAGCCUAGUACGAGAUUCUUUUGAUGAGCCUGACUAUGCUCUCAUAGACACUCUCUUCUCUUUGGCCGAAGCCUAUCUCUUUGCCCAACUCGUUGACUUCAAAGAUAACAACCCUGAUAAAAUCCCCAAGGACGUUGAGUAAGACAACUUCCAUAUACGUUACUGUUUUCUUACACUUAUAUAGCCUCCAAGAAAGCAUAUGUUAUUGCUCAUGAUAUUCUAUAUUCUGUUAGUUAUGCUCGCAUGUAUAAAGAUGUCCGGUCUGCUGUUGAUAUGUGCCACCGUGAUGGUACUUUGAAGCAGAUGGUGGCAAAGAACCCUAAUAAGUAAGGCUGAUGGUAUAUUCAUUACUGUCUCUUGCUUUUUUCCUUUUUUCAUCAUAGAUUUUUAACUUGUUACUUUUUUCAGGUAUAUCAACGAGGAUGCUACCAUUGUACCUCUGAUAAAAAUGAUAAGAGAUUCCGGACGCUCAACAUUCUUGGUGACCAAUAGGUAAUGCUAAUGACAUAGUUCUUAAAACUUCAUUGUGUUAUGGUAAAAGUUGUUAUGCACGUAUGGCUUUUGUAGCUCUGCAUGCAGCUUAUUCAGCAUCAUAUUUAAAAUGGCAAUAUGCUCUAAAGUUCCACUGUAACCUGUUCCCCUGCCCCUUGUAAUAGAAAUGUGAACAUAGGGAGUUACAGAAACCUUUGUUGUGAGACAAACUUUCAUUACUAGUGAUUUGUUUUGUUCUUACCUGUCUUUGUAUAAUAGUUUUUAAAAGGAAUUUUUUUAACGACAUUCUUGCAGUUUGUGGGACUACACAAAUAUUGUGAUGAACUUUCUCUGUGGAGGCCGCACUGUACAUGGUCCUGAUACUUGCAACUUUGACUGGCUCCAAUACUUUGAUGUUGUGAUCACUGGCAGGUAUUUUUUUUUCUUAGUUUCUUUUUUAGUCUAAUGAUCUGAACAAAGUCAUGGUGAUGAACAAUAAGAUAUGUGCUAUUAUAGAAGAAUUUUAGUUUCUUGCAUUAUUCCUUUUUUUUUAAAUCUCGUUUGUUUGUUAUCUGAAUUGGAUAUAUGUUUGUGAAGUGCAAAACCUGGUUUCUUCCAUGAGGAGAGCCGUGCCAACCUUUUUGAGGUGGAACUUAAGUCAGGGAUGCUGAUCAAUACGGACAAUGGAACACCUAUGGCUCAGGUUAGACUUCACGAGUUGUGACAUUCGUUCAGUCUUUCACAUGCUAGUUAUCCAAAUGUUGCAACUUAUAUUUUUUUUAUGAUUCACAGAUUGGAGAUCCUUCACCAAAAAUUCCACUGAAGAGUAAAGACAAAGCGUGUCAAGUUUUCCAAGGUGGAAAUGUUGGUCAUCUUCACAAUUUGCUCUCCAUCGAGUCAAGUUCUCAGGUACUGUCACACUAUAAACCUCUAUAGUAACUGGAUGUACCGUGCCAUGUCUCAUUUAUCAGUCACUUAUUCGAUCUUAUUAGGUCCUUUACGUUGGCGAUCACAUAUACGGUGACAUCUUGCGCAGCAAAAAAGUCCUCGGUAAGGUUUCCUUUGCCAGUUAUAGAUUUUUACUUCUUUUUUUUGUUCUGUGAAGUAAACUUGUAGUUUAAUUUUUUUCUUUAAUUCUUCAGGGUGGAGAACUAUGCUGGUUGUACCGGAACUUGAAAAGGAGGUUGAAUUUCUGUGGGAGCUUAGGAACGCGCGUAAGGUGAAUGGACCCUCUCUUCAUAUUGUCAUUAUAAAAUAUAUGAUUUUGUGAAAUAGGCUUUUUCCUUAUCUGAUAAAUUUUUGGGUUUGCAGGAACUAAUUUUGAUGAGGAAUGAGCGUGACUCAGUGGAAGACAUGAUCCACCACUUGAGCUGGUCUCUGCAGUAAGUCUUCUUUAAAUAAGAAUUUGAACCAAAGAAAGCUUGUGUAACCAGAUCAUAUAUCGUGUCAGGUUUGAAGAUAUCAACGAGAAAGACAAGCAGGAAAUGCUAUCAACGGUUAAGGACUUAGUGGUACGUUAGGAUUUGCACGGACUCCUUAAUCUCCAAGAGUUGCAUAUUCAUUUAAUAAUUAAUGUUUUUUUUGGGUGGGAUUCAACAGUGUAAAAGAGAUGAAGUACGACUAAAUCUUCAAGAUGCUCAAAGAGAAAGCCACAAAAAGGUAAAAAUCAUGUAGAGUGUGUCAAUGUAAAACAACUAGUUUGAAGUUCCAAUGCUCAUGUUGUUGGUUUUUUGGUUACUGCAGUUUCACAAUGUCUGGGGGCAAUUAAUGAAAACUGGUUACCAAAGUUCUAGAUUUGCUCACCAGGUAAUAACGUUUUAUAUAAAUGUAACGGUUAUAGUUUUUUUUUGCCUUUGUGAGGAAUUUGAUUUCAUGUUAUCUUUCAAUGUAGGUGGAGAGAUUUGCAUGCCUGUACACGAGCCAGGUCUCUAACCUGCGGUUGUACUCCCCAGAAAAGUACUACAAACCAAGUGAGGACUUCAUGUCACAUGAGUUCCACCUUCUUCCCCUUUGAUUGAUCCGAUCAGUGAGAUAGCUAAAGAAAGUCCAUCUGAAGUCAAGAGAGUAUUAUCAAAGUAAUUGUUUGAUUUGGUUGGGUGCUUAUUUUUGCACAAGCUCCCUUUAUCUCUUCUUUUACUCAUUGCAUUUUCAAUUUCACUUUGGUACGAACUACAAGUUUAAGAUUCUAUUGGAAACGUUUUCUUUUUACCUUGCGGAAAAGUUUGUGUCUACAAAACUCAUUAGUCUACUAUCAUUUAUUUUAAUUGGUCUGUUUCUUCACAGAGAAGAAUUAGAACACGUCUUGUUUGGUGCUUUAGAUAUAUCUUUAGAUGGAUCAUUCUAUCUAUGGCAGUGUUGAUGUUCAGAUUCAUCUCUGUAUUAGCAUAAUCUUUACUCUAUUAGAAGAGUUUGAUCAAAUUACAACAAAAAAAAACUACUUGUGUUCAUAUACAUAUAACAGAAGAUUAUUGACACACAACAAACAAACAAACAAAUCUUCGUAACUUCUCACAGCCCAAUUAAACAACAGCUGGAAAAAUCUCUGACAUUUCUUUGUUUCUUCUUGUUCUUGGCCAAAACAGCGAUGUGGUGAAAGGGAAACAUAUAAUGAUCAUCUGAACAAGGCUUGAAGUUCCUCAAGUGUUUUCCCUUUGGUCUCAGGAACCCAUAGAGUUACAAACACCACUGUGAAUGCACACACCACCGCGUAUAGAGUGAAAGUUCCUGUCCAACAUGAACCAAAACCCCAUUAAAUAAAAAUGAUCCCAUCAUGGCGACAGAGAGAGAAGAGUAAGAGAGAAAGAGAGAGAAACCUCCACUGCUCCAGGCCAAGAGCAAGUUUGCAGUCAUGGUGAUCAACCAAGAGAAGAACCAAUUUGCUAAAGUCGCUAUACUUCCAGCUAAGCCCUUUAUGUUUACAGGAAGGAUCUGUUUACCACAACAACAACACCAAAUCAAUCAAAAGGCAGUUUAAUACAGUUCUUACAACACUUAGUUCUAGCUUCUAAUUAAUACCUCAGACAUAAUGAGCCACGGAAUUGGUCCCAUUCCUAAUGAGAAAGAAACAACCAUUGCCUGUAAAAUGAUUCAAAAGAGUUAAAGCAAUGAUAACAUCUCACUGCAUCAAGAAAGUUUCAAAACAAACAAACUUACCACAACUCCAACUACAGAUAAGAUGCUCAGCAUACUGUACAUGUCUGAAUCAUGAGACACAAAUCCCUAAAACAAGACAUGUAAUAACUCAAAAACGUUGUUACAGAAGAUAAAAAAUAGUGUUUAAGGAAGUUACAAAUUUUAAAAGUACCUUAAGGUAGAAAGCAGCUGCAACAAUUACUAAACUGAUCGUCAUCCCAACCGAAGAGAUCUACAAAACAUUUCCAUUUACGUUAUUAGUUAAACUUUGGACCUGUCCUGAGUUAGAUUCCUAAAGAUAUGACACUAAUGAAUACUCACGGUAAGCAGAAGGCGACGACCUGCUUUGUCCACCAACCAUGUUGAGAUUGCAGUCGCCACUACUUGAAUAGCACCGACCCCAAAUGUUGCUGCAUUACUCGAUGUAACUCCUACAAACGAGAAAAGGUCGAAGCUAUGUAAUAAUCUGAAACAAGACACGUCCUGUCUUCUUAGAGGAAGGAACUUACCUGCAGAUUCAAAGAUUGUACUGGAAUAGAAUAAAACGCCGUUAAUCCCACCGAGUUGUUGAAGUACAAGCAACCCUAUACCAACCUGUUACACACACAAAAACAGUUUUAAGAUAAUGUUUCUUUAUGGUAGAGAAAGCAUAUUCAAUGUUUUGUACCAUAAGUGGGAAAUAGUAUCUCCUCCUCUUGAGAUCUACAAACCGAACUGUAGAUGAUCUCUUAGUAGAUGAUGCCACAGAUCUCUGCAGAAGAUAUGAAAAAGAAUAAGCCUUUAAAAAUAAUUUAUAUACCUUUAAAGAAGGAAAAGAUUCUGAGUUGUAAUAUAUUACCUUGAUCUCAUUAACCUCAACGGUAAUAUCAGUCUCAAAUCCUCUAAGCACUUGUAAAGAAGUUUCAAAAUCAUCAGUCAUACCCAUUUUCGCCUACAAAAUUAAAGUAAAUCAUCCCAUAAGAGUGGAUUAACCAAAAUAUGAACUUGACUCAAGAAAAAUAUUUUUUUUAAACUUACAAGCCAGCGAGGGGAUUCAGGAAUGAAAAAGAGACCUGGUAUCAAUACUAUGCAUGGCAAUGUCCCUAAGUAAGACAACAGAGAAAGUGAUUAGAGCAUGUUAAUGAAUCAUUAAUCAGGAAAAUGGUUUCAGGCUUACCCAAAACUGCAAGAAUCCUCCAUGGAACAAAGAGGCCAAGUAAAUAAGCCAGCAUUAUUCCAAUUGUCACAGAAAGCUACAUGCAAAGAAAAAGUUAACCAACAUCUAAUGUUCAGCAUUAAAAUCUAUUCACAAAAUGAAAAAGAAGAAUCAUUCAGCUAGGCGUGUCAAACCUGGUUAACUGAACCCAAUCCUCCCCUCAUAUUCUGUGGAGCUAUCUCAGCAAUAUACACAGGCACCUGCAACCAAAAACCGAGUUGGCAUAAACCAUAAGCAAAGCAAAAACUAGGUGAUGAGUUCAGCAUUUACCGUGUAAGAGAUGAUCCCAACACCAAAGCCUUCUAAAAGCCUUCCCAUGUAAAGAAAAGAAGUAUCCUACACAACAAAGGAUGAUGUAAUGCCAAUCAUAACAUUUUCAGAUCAAAUAAAAAAAAAAUUAUAAAACAACAAAAAACUCACUUUUGCAAAUGAUAUGCAAAGCCAGCCAAUGAUAUUGGGAAUUGCAGCAAUCAUCAGAGACUGUCCAAGACAACACACAAACAAUAAAAGGGUCUAAGUAAAGCGAGUAAAGAUGUCAUUAGCUGGAUCAAGAUUCAAAAUUAGACAAAGCUAUACCCCUUUUCUUCCAAUGUAUUCUGCAAUCUGACCACUGGCGAUUGCACCAACCAUAGCACCCACAUUGGAUAGAGAACCAAACACAGAGUACUAAUACAUGUAACAAAAGAGAUCAAAGUCAGUCAACGGUAAAAACCAGACAGGUCUAGACAAAGAGAUUGGUUUAUUAUUAUUACCUCAGAUACAGUUAAACCCAGAUCCUUAGUGAUUGCAGCUUGUGUCGGAGAAGAAUAACCACACUAAAACCCAAAAAAGAUACAAAUCAGUCAACAACUUUCUACAAAUGGAAAAAGAAAAAAGGUUGAGACGUUUUUAUUCUGACUUACAGUGAAACCGAAUUGAAUAGGACCAAGAGCAACGAUCAGGACACAAGCAAGAACAGAGAUAGAGCUGUCUCUGAUGACUUGAGACGAACCCAUCAUGCUCGAUUGUCUUGAGCCCAUCCGGUACCAGCUUCCCGUGUGUAUGAAAGGUCGUCGCAGAUCAUUAUUCCUGGCCUCCUCUGUAUCACUCAUCUUUCUUCUGUAAAUAAAAAAAGCUUCAAGCUUUAGCCUCAAGGCAAGAAAAGAAACCUCCUUUUGGACUUUUAUGCUCGGUUUAGAGGAUCUAGAAACUGGGUUUUUGAUGACGAAGCUGUGCUUUGGAUAAGAAGGGAUUUUAAGAGACGCCGUCUUGUUAUGGAAAAAAUCGAAAAAAGGAAGAUAAUUUGGGUGUAAUGUAGUGAUUAACUGCUGGUGAGACAAGAGGAGAUUUGUUCUGAUAGUUCUUUUUUUUUUUUUGAAGAUCACAACAGGUUGCGUCGUCGCAUAAACCAAAUUUGGACAAAAUUAAAGGUUCUUUUUAGAUAGUGGACAAUUUAUUUUUAUAUUUUUUUGCUAAAACUAACAAAUAUUUAGACAAAAUAAAAGAUAUUAUGGUAAAUAUAAUUACACAAUGUUUUUGGAUGAUGAAUAAUUUACUAUGUAGAUCUUUUGCUAAAACUAAAAACAUACUAUAGUCAUCAGGAUUUGCUAAAAAGAUAAUGCAGUUUUUGAACAGAAUAUGUUGCCAAUAAAUAUGAAUUAUCUUAUUGUGUUUUGGAUAAUUUAUAUCCGUUUUUUAAUGACCAGCUAGUAUUUGGUUUUGGAUAUUUAUCAUUUUUGGUCAGUAAUCCACCACUGUUAACUACCUGAUUUUAGUUUGGGGAAUGAUAUAUAAUCACUACAAAAUACAAUAAACUGUUAGGAAAUAUAUUUACACUAAUUAAUCAAAACUGGAAGUUUUUUUUCUUUUGGAUAAGACAUCCACAUAUUACUUACAUCAUUAAUAAAUACUAAAAUAAGUAAUUUUAUAUUUUAAGCUUAUUAUUUGUAUUAAUUCUUUUUAUGAAAUAUUAGAAUUACUUUUGGAAGUUUGUUCUCUUAUUUUUUUUCUCAUCUUUUUUUGGUCAGCUUUGAGGUCCGUGAACGCACCGCACCGUACUCGUAUUAUCAAAUUCCAGACCCGCAUUUCAAAUAUUAAUUCCAUUUAAGUCUUCAGUUUGUAUUUUCGCAUCCAUAUAAAAAGCCAAAUUAUCAACGAUGUUCUAUACUUUAGACUAAAUCAAAUUGUUUUCUUUUUAAUUGCCGUUUGGUAAGAAAUAGAAGAGUGAGAAAAACACUAGAGAAAUGUGAGGGAAGAGGUGGCCAGAACACAAAAAGACAGAGUAUCAUAUCAUACCGAACACGUCUUCGUGAUCUGAUAUCCCUGUCUCCAUUCAUAACCUAACUAAUCUUCUUGUUGACCACAAAUUUUAUAUAUCUGCACUCUACAUAACAUUGAUUAAGGUAUUUUGUUCUCGUUUCUCACAUGUACAAUAGUUACAAACAGAAUAAAAUAA
This 26526-nucleotide long non-coding RNA is filed under the name Brassica napus (rape). Its description in RNAcentral is "long non-coding RNA (BNAP_LNC006416)". Lineage: Eukaryota; Viridiplantae; Streptophyta; Magnoliopsida; Brassicales; Brassicaceae. The record is from RNAcentral.